UGAUUCUUGCAUCUAUCUUUUUAUUCUAAGUUCUUUAUUACAAGUUUAAAAAUGAAAGAAAUGUCGAAGAGUUUUGGUUUCUUCAUCUUAGCUUUAUUUGUGGUGGCAAGCAUUGAAAGUGUGCUGAUUUCAAGCACAAGAAUUGGCCAAGAAUCUAAUAAGCUUUCUAAUUCUGCCAUUCCUGCACCAUCACCUGCUGACAAUGAUGAUUGCUCAGGGCUUACACCCGAAGAGUGUUUAAUUAAGAAGGGCGAGGAUGAGGAGGCCCAUCACAGAGUCUCAUUCCCUUGCCUUUGUCCCGGCUACGGAUGCUCUGAUUAUGCUUGUUAAUUUGUUGUUUCUAUUAUGCCGUAUAACUACUUUUGUAACAAUUUGCCGUUAAGCAAAGAAAAAUGAGUACUCUUGCAAUAAAGAAUCUUUUGUUAUUCCUUUUAUUGUUCACUUGAUAAGAAAAGAAAAAAGAAAUUAAAAAGAUAAUAUAAGUCAACAGCUAGUUAAGAUUUGUGUUUUUUUGAAUAAGAUCAAUUACCUCAAUAUUAGGGAUGGCAAAAUUCUCCACCGGUUUGGAGUCCUAUGGUGCCCCAUCCUAACUGGGGUGAAUUUUGAAUGAUUUUUGAAGAAUGUGAUGA
RNAcentral lists this long non-coding RNA (629 nucleotides) under Citrus maxima (pomelo). Its description in RNAcentral is "long non-coding RNA (CMAX_LNC002783)". The record is from RNAcentral. Lineage: Eukaryota; Viridiplantae; Streptophyta; Magnoliopsida; Sapindales; Rutaceae.